Molecule: unclassified non-coding RNA, 240 nt
Filed under: soil metagenome
Description: partial contains 5.8S ribosomal RNA, internal transcribed spacer 2, and large subunit ribosomal RNA
Source: RNAcentral
AAGACUAUAGACCUGCGGAGUACCUGCGGAAGGAUCAUUACCGAGUGUUUUUUUACAACUCCCAAACCCCUAAAUGUGAACCUUAUACCGUUAUUGUUGCUUCGGCGGGUUUUAAUGCCCCGGAUGCGCCCAGAGCCGCCGGACCCAGGCGCCCGCCGGAGGACCUAGACUCUUGUUUCUCUCUGUUUUAUAGCAGCCCUCUGAGUGGAUUUUUACGAUAUUGAAAUGAAUCAAAACUUU